RNAcentral lists this ribosomal RNA (371 nucleotides) under uncultured prokaryote. RNAcentral's name for it is "bacterial SSU rRNA". It matches the Rfam family "Bacterial small subunit ribosomal RNA", at positions 524 to 896 of the family's 1533-position model. The record is from RNAcentral.
GACGGAGGGUGCUAGCGUUGUUCGGAAUUACUGGGCGUAAAGAGCGCGUAGGCGGCUUGGUAAGUUGGGAGUGAAAGCCCGAGGCUUAACCUCGGAAUUGCUCUCAAAACUGCUGAGCUAGAGUAUGGUAGGGGAUGGUAGAAUUCCUAGUGUAGAGGUGGAAUUCUUAGAUAUUAGGAGGAAUACCGGUGGCGAAGGCGGCCAUCUGGACCAUUACUGACGCUGAGGCGCGAAAGCGUGGGGAGCAAACAGGAUUAGAUACCCUGGUAGUCCACGCCGUAAACGAUGAGUGCUAGAUAUCGGGGAAUUAUUCUUCGGUUUCGCAGCUAACGCAUUAAGCACUCCGCCUGGGGAGUACGGUCGCAAGAUUA